This 1469-nucleotide ribosomal RNA is filed under the name Thermoplasmata archaeon. RNAcentral describes it as "bacterial SSU rRNA". It matches the Rfam family "Archaeal small subunit ribosomal RNA". The record is from RNAcentral. Lineage: Archaea; Methanobacteriati; Thermoplasmatota; Thermoplasmata.
AUUCCGGUUGAUCCUGCCGGCGGGCACCGCUAUCGGAAUGCGAUUAAGGCAUGCGAGUCGAGAGGUGAAAGACCUCGGCGGACGGCUGAGUAACACGCGGAUAAUCUGCCCUGGAGAGGGGGAUAAUCUCGGGAAACUGAGGAUAAUACCCCAUAGGUGUGGUUUGCUGGAAUGCUUCCACGCUCAAAACUCCGGUGCUCCAGGAUGAGUCUGCGGCCUAUCAGGCUGUAGUGGGUGUAACGGACCCACUAACCUACGACGGGUAGGGGCGUUGAGAGACGGAGCCCCCAGAUGGAUUCUGAGACACGAAUCCAGGCCCUACGGGGCGCAGCAGCUACGAAAACUGUCCAAUGUGGGAAACCACGAGACGGGCAUUCCGAGUGCCAUCACUUUUGUGUUGGCUGUUCUCCCGCCUAAAAAGCGAGAGAAGUAAGGGCCGGGUAAGACGGGUGCCAGCCGCCGCGGUAAUACCCGCGGCCCGAGUGGUGCUCAUUAUUAUUGAGCUUAAAGCGUUCGUAGCCGGCCCUGUAAAUCCUUGGGUAAAUCGGACAGCUCAACUGUUCGAAUUCCGAGGAGACUGCAGGGCUCGGGACCGGGAGAGGUUCGAGGUACUCUCGGGGUAGGGGUAAAAUCCUGUAAUCCUGAGAGGACCACCAGUGGCGAAGGCGUCGAACUAGAACGGAUCCGACGGUGAGGGACGAAGCCCUGGGGCGCAAACGGGAUUAGAUACCCCGGUAGUCCAGGGUGUAAACGCUGCGGGCUUGGUGUCGGAGGCCCUACGAGGACGUCCGGUGCCGGAGAGAAAUUGUUAAGCCUGCCGCUUGGGGAGUACGGUCGCAAGACUGAAACUUAAAGGAAUUGGCGGGAGAGCACCGCAACGGGAGGAGCGUGCGGUUCAAUUGGAUUCAACGCCGUACAACUCACCAGGGGCGACGGUUACAUGAAGGCCAGGUUGACGACCUUGCCUGAUUUUCCGAGAGGUGGUGCAUGGCCGUCGUCAGUUCGUACCGUAGGGCGUUCUCUUAAGUGAGAUAACGAACGAGACCCUCGCUGCUAAUUGCUAGCCGUUCCGUGAGGAGCGGUGCACAUUAUCGGGACCGCCAGCGCUAAGCUGGAGGAAGGGGAGGUCAACGGUAGGUCAGUAUGCCCCGAAUCCCCUGGGCUACACGCGCGCUACAAAGGCCAGGACAAUGGGCUCCGAUGCCGAAAGGCAAGGGCAAUCCCGAAACCUGUCCGUAGUUCGGAUUGAGGGCUGUAACUCGCCCUCAUGAAGCUGGAUUCCGUAGUAAUCGCGUGUCAACAUCACGCGGUGAAUAUGCCCCUGCUCUUUGCACACACCGCCCGUCAAACCAUCCGAGUUGGGUCCAAGUGAUGAUGCCUCACCAUGUGGCGUUAGAACUUGGGUUCAGCAAGGGGGGUUAAGUCGUAACAAGGUAUCUGUAGGGGAACCUGCAGAUGGAUCACCUCCU